Molecule: ribosomal RNA, 405 nt
Filed under: uncultured bacterium
Lineage: Bacteria
Description: bacterial SSU rRNA
Rfam family: Bacterial small subunit ribosomal RNA
Source: RNAcentral
CAGGGAAUUUUGCGCAAUGGGCGAAAGCCUGACGCAGCGACGCCGCGUGGGGGAAGAAGGCCUUAGGGUUGUAAACCCCUUUUCUGGGGGAAGAGAUAGGACGGUACCCCAGGAAUAAGCCCCGGCUAACUACGUGCCAGCAGCCGCGGUAAUACGUAGGGGGCGAGCGUUGUCCGGAAUUACUGGGCGUAAAGGGCGCGUAGGCGGCCCAGGAAGUCUCCGGUGAAAUCUCCCGGCUCAACUGGGAGGGGUCCGGGGAAACUCUUGGGCUUGAGGGCAGCAGAGGAGGGUGGAAUUCCCGGUGUAGUGGUGAAAUGCGUAGAUAUCGGGAGGAACACCAGUGGCGAAGGCGGCCCUCUGGGCUGUACCUGACGCUGAGGCGCGAAAGCGUGGGGAGCGAACCGG